Molecule: ribosomal RNA, 245 nt
Filed under: uncultured bacterium
Lineage: Bacteria
Description: partial 16S ribosomal RNA
Rfam family: Bacterial small subunit ribosomal RNA
Source: RNAcentral
AGCGAACGCUGGCGGCAGGCUUAACACAUGCAAGUCGAGCGGGCGUAGCAAUACGUCAGCGGCAGACGGGUGAGUAACGCGUGGGAACGUACCUUUUGGUUCGGAACAACACAGGGAAACUUGUGCUAAUACCGGAUAAGCCCUUACGGGAAGAUUAUCGCCGAAGAUCGGCCCGCGUCUGAUUAGCUAGUUGGUGUGGUAACGGCGCACCAAGGCGACGAUCAGUAGCNGGUCUGAGAGGAUGA